GACGGGGGGGGCAAGUGUUCUUCGGAAUGACUGGGCGUAAAGCGCACGUAGGCGGCUUUGUAAGUUAGAGGUGAAAGCCUGGGGCUCAACUCCAGAAUUGCCUUUAAGACUGCAUCGCUUGAACGUCGGAGAGGUGAGUGGAAUUCCGAGUGUAGAGGUGAAAUUCGUAGAUAUUCGGAAGAACACCAGUGGCGAAGGCGGCUCACUGGACGACUGUUGACGCUGAGGUGCGAAAGCGUGGGGAGCAAACAGG
RNAcentral lists this ribosomal RNA (253 nucleotides) under uncultured bacterium. RNAcentral's name for it is "partial 16S ribosomal RNA". It matches the Rfam family "Bacterial small subunit ribosomal RNA", at positions 524 to 776 of the family's 1533-position model. The record is from RNAcentral.